UACGUAGGGACCGAGCGUUGUCCGGAAUCAUUGGGCGUAAAGAGCGUGUAGGCGGCCACUUAAGUCCUGCGUGAAAUCUUGCGGCUCAACCGCAAGCGGUCGUGGGAAACUGGGUGGCUAGAGUGCGGGAGAGGAGAGUGGAAUUCCUGGUGUAGCGGUGGAAUGCGCAGAUAUCAGGAAGAACACCCGUGGCGAAGGCGGCUCUCUGGGCAGUGGCUGACGCUGAAGCGCGACAGCGUGGGGAGCAAACAGG
Molecule: ribosomal RNA, 253 nt
Filed under: uncultured bacterium
Lineage: Bacteria
Description: partial 16S ribosomal RNA
Rfam family: Bacterial small subunit ribosomal RNA
Source: RNAcentral